This 405-nucleotide ribosomal RNA is filed under the name uncultured bacterium. RNAcentral's name for it is "partial 16S ribosomal RNA". It matches the Rfam family "Bacterial small subunit ribosomal RNA", at positions 28 to 526 of the family's 1533-position model. The record is from RNAcentral.
GAUGAACGCUGGCGGCGUGCCUAAUACAUGCAAGUCGAGCGAAGCGGGGACGGGUGAGUAACACGUGGCUAACCUCCUCUAAGACUGGGAUAACUUCGGGAAACCGGAGCUCAAACGGCUACUUGUCGAUGGAUCCGCGCUGCAUUAGCUAGUUGGUAAGGUAACGGCUUACCAAGGCAACGAUGCAUAGCCGACCUGAGAGGUGGAUCGGCCACACUGGAACUGAGACACGGUCCAGACUCCUACGGGAGGCAGCAGUAGGGAAUCUUCCGCAAUGGGCGAAAGCCUGACGGAGCAACGCCGCGUGAGUGAUGAAGGCCUUCGGAUCGUAAAACUCUGUUAUUAGGGAAGCGGUACCUAAACAGAAAGCCACGGCUAACUACGUGCCAGCCGCCGCGGUAAUAC